RNAcentral lists this ribosomal RNA (450 nucleotides) under uncultured bacterium. Its description in RNAcentral is "partial 16S ribosomal RNA". It matches the Rfam family "Bacterial small subunit ribosomal RNA", at positions 328 to 794 of the family's 1533-position model. The record is from RNAcentral.
UUUCCAGACUCCUACGGGAGGCAGCAGUGGGGAAUAUUGCACAAUGGGGGAAACCCUGAUGCAGCAACGCCGCGUGAAGGAAGACGGUUUUCGGAUUGUAAACUUCUGUUCUUAGUGAAGAAGAAUGACGGUAGCUAAGGAGCAAGCCACGGCUAACUACGUGCCAGCAGCCGCGGUAAUACGUAGGUGGCAAGCGUUGUCCGGAAUUACUGGGUGUAAAGGGAGCGCAGGCGGGAAGCCAAGUCAGCUGUGAAAACUACGGGCUUAACUUGUAGACUGCAGUUGAAACUGGUUUUCUUGAGUGAAGUAGAGGUUGGCGGAAUUCCGAGUGUAGCGGUGAAAUGCUUAGAUAUUGCGCAGAACUCCGAUUGCGAAGGCAGCAUACCGGCGGCGAUCUGACGCUGAGGCACGAAAGCGUGGGUAUCGAACAGGAUUAGAUACCCUAGUAUU